AAGCAUAGUAGUACUUA
RNAcentral lists this microRNA (17 nucleotides) under Corchorus capsularis. RNAcentral's name for it is "sRNA CCACVL1_22236". Lineage: Eukaryota; Viridiplantae; Streptophyta; Magnoliopsida; Malvales; Malvaceae. The record is from RNAcentral.